This 458-nucleotide ribosomal RNA is filed under the name uncultured bacterium. RNAcentral's name for it is "partial 16S ribosomal RNA". It matches the Rfam family "Bacterial small subunit ribosomal RNA", at positions 338 to 795 of the family's 1533-position model. The record is from RNAcentral.
CCUACGGGAGGCAGCAGUGAGGAAUAUUGGUCAAUGGGCGAAAGUCUGAACCAGCCAAGUCGCGUGAGGGAGUACUGCCCUAUGGGUUGUAAACCGCUUUUGUAGGGGAGCAAAAGCCGAACGUGUCCUGCGGUGAGAAUACCCGAAGGAAAAGCAUCGGCUAACCUCGGUCCAGGCGCCGGGGUAAUACGGGGGGUGCGAGGGUUUAUCGGGUUUUUUGGGGUUUAAGGGGUGGCAGGCGGAUUUUAAAGUCUGCGGUAAAAACGUGGGGGUCAACCCCAUACAGCCGUUGAUACUGGGGAUCUAGAGUGUGCGAGCGGUAUGCGGAAUGCGUGGUGUAGCGGUGAAAUGCAUAGAUAUCACGCAGAACCCCGAUCGCGAAGGCAGCAUACCGGUGCACAACUGACGCUGAGGCACGAAAGCGUGGGUAUCGAACAGGAUUAGAUACCCUAGUAGUC